GACGUAGGGUGCAAGCGUUGUCCGGAUUUACUGGGCGUAAAGAGCGCGUAGGCGGCUCGUUAAGUGUGAAGCUAAAUCUCUUGGCUCAACCAAGAAAUCAUUUCGCAUACUGGCGGGCUGGAGUGAUGCAGAGGUGGAUAGAAUUCCCGGUGUAGCGGUGAAAUGCGUUGAUAUCGGGAGGAAUACCCGUGGCGAAGGCGGUCCACUGGGCAUCAACUGACGCUGAGGCGCGAAAGCGUGGGUAGCAAACAGG
This 253-nucleotide ribosomal RNA is filed under the name uncultured bacterium. Its description in RNAcentral is "partial 16S ribosomal RNA". It matches the Rfam family "Bacterial small subunit ribosomal RNA", at positions 524 to 776 of the family's 1533-position model. The record is from RNAcentral.